RNAcentral lists this ribosomal RNA (497 nucleotides) under uncultured bacterium. RNAcentral's name for it is "partial 16S ribosomal RNA". It matches the Rfam family "Bacterial small subunit ribosomal RNA", at positions 28 to 507 of the family's 1533-position model. The record is from RNAcentral.
GAUGAACGCUGGCGGCGUGCCUAAUACAUGCAAGUCGAGCGAACAGACGAGGAGCUUGCUCCUCUGACGUUAGCGGCGGACGGGUGAGUAACACGUGGAUAACCUACCUAUAAGACUGGGAUAACUUCGGGAAACCGGAGAUAAUAACGGAUAAUAUAUUGAACCGCAUGGUUCAAUAGUGAAAGACGGCUUUGCUGACACUUAUAGAUGGAUCCGCGCCGCAUUAGCUAGUUGGUAAGGUAACGGCUUACCAAGGCAACGAUGCGUAGCCGACCUGAGAGGGUGAUCGGCCACACUGGAACUGAGACACGGUCCAGACUCCUACGGGAGGCAGCAGUAGGGAAUCUUCCGCAAUGGGCGAAAGCCUGACGGAGCAACGCCGCGUGAGUGAUGAAGGUCUUCGGAUCGUAAAGCUCUGUUAUUAGGGAAGAACAAAUGUGUAAGUAACUAUGCACGUCUUGACGGUACCUAAUCAGAAAGCCACGGCUAACUACGUG